UAAUACGGAGGGUGCAAGCAUUAAUCGGAUUUAUUGGGCGUAAAGGGCGCGUAGGCGGGGAUGAAAGUCAGAUGUGAAAUCCCGGGGCUCAACCUCGGAACUGCAUUUGAAACUCCAUUUCUUGAGGGUAGAAGGAGAAAACGGAAUUCCACAAGUAGCGGUGAAAUGCGUAGAUAUGUGGAAGAACACCGGUGGCGAAGGCGGUUUUCUAUUUUAUUCCUGACGCUGAUGCGCGAAAGCAAGGGGAUCAAACAGG
This 256-nucleotide ribosomal RNA is filed under the name uncultured bacterium. RNAcentral describes it as "partial 16S ribosomal RNA". It matches the Rfam family "Bacterial small subunit ribosomal RNA", at positions 521 to 776 of the family's 1533-position model. The record is from RNAcentral.